CCUACGGGAGGCUGCAGUGAGGAAUAUUGGUCAAUGGGCGCGAGCCUGAACCAGCCAAGUCGCGUGAGGGAAGACGGCCCUACGGGUUGUAAACCUCUUUUGCCGGGGAGCAACGGGCGCCACGUGUGGCGCCACUGAGAGUACCCGGAGAAAAAGCAUCGGCUAACUCCGUGCCAGCAGCCGCGGUAAUACGGAGGAUGCGAGCGUUAUCCGGUUUUAUUGGGUUAAAAGGGUGCGUAGGCGGAGCGUUAAGUCAGUGGUCAAAUUGAGGGGCUCAACCCCUUACCGCCCUUGAAACUGGCGCGCUUGAGUGGAAGAGAAGUAUGCGGAAUGCGUGGUGUAGCGGUGAAAUGCAUAGAUAUCACGCAGAACCCCGAUUGCGAAGGCAGCAUGCCGGCUUCCUACUGACGCUGAAGCACGAAAGCGUGGGGAUCGAACAGGAUUAGAUACCCCUGUAGUC
This 460-nucleotide ribosomal RNA is filed under the name uncultured bacterium. RNAcentral's name for it is "partial 16S ribosomal RNA". It matches the Rfam family "Bacterial small subunit ribosomal RNA", at positions 338 to 795 of the family's 1533-position model. The record is from RNAcentral.